This 389-nucleotide ribosomal RNA is filed under the name uncultured bacterium. Its description in RNAcentral is "bacterial SSU rRNA". It matches the Rfam family "Bacterial small subunit ribosomal RNA", at positions 28 to 417 of the family's 1533-position model. The record is from RNAcentral.
AUUGAACGCUGGCGGCAUGCUUUACACAUGCAAGUCGAGCGGCAGCGCGGGGGCAACCCUGGCGGCGAGCGGCGAACGGGUGAGGAAUACAUCGGAACGUACCCCGGAGUGGGGGAUAACGCCGCGAAAGCGGCGCUAAUACCGCAUAUGCUCUGAGGAGGAAAGUGGGGGACCUGCAAGGGCCUCACGCUCUGGGAGCGGCCGAUGUCCGAUUAGCUAGUUGGUGGGGUAAAGGCCCACCAAGGCGACGAUCGGUAGCUGGUCUGAGAGGAUGAUCAGCCACACUGGGACUGAGACACGGCCCAGACUCCUACGGGAGGCAGCAGUGGGGAAUUUUGGACAAUGGGGGCAACCCUGAUCCAGCCAUGCCGCGUGCGGGAAGAAGGCCU